UACGUAGGGUGCAAGCGUUAAUCGGAAUUACUGGGCGUAAAGCGUGCGCAGGCGGUUCUCCAAGUCAGUGGUGAAAGCCCGGAGCUCAACUCCGGAACUGCCAUUGAAACUGUAGAGCUAGAGUACGAGAGAGGUGAGUGGAAUUCCCAGUGUAGAGGUGAAAUUCGUAGAUAUUGGGAAGAACACCAGUGGCGAAGGCGGCUCACUGGCCCGAUACUGACGCUGAGGCACGAAAGCGUGGGGAGCAAACAGG
This 253-nucleotide ribosomal RNA is filed under the name uncultured bacterium. Its description in RNAcentral is "partial 16S ribosomal RNA". It matches the Rfam family "Bacterial small subunit ribosomal RNA", at positions 524 to 776 of the family's 1533-position model. The record is from RNAcentral.